AUUGAACGCUGGCGGCAGGCCUAACACAUGCAAGUCGAGCGAGAGGCGGACGGGUGAGUAAUGUAUGGGGACUGCCCGAUAGAGGGGGAUAACUACUGGAAACGGUAGCCAAUACCGCAUACUAUCGGAUAACCCAUAUGGGAUUAGCUAGUAGGUGAGGUAAUGGCUCACCUAGGCGACGAUCCCUAGUUGGUCUGAGAGGAAGAUCAGCCACACUGGGACUGAGACACGGCCCAUACCCCGACGGAGGCAGCAGUGGGGAAUAUUGCACAAUGGGCGCAAGCCUGAUGCAGCCAGACCGCGUGUAUGAAGAAGGCCCUAGGGUUGUAAAGUACUUUCAGUCGGGGGGCGUUACCGACAGAAGAAGCACCGGCUAACUCCGUGCCAGCAGCCGCGGUAAUUC
This 403-nucleotide ribosomal RNA is filed under the name uncultured bacterium. RNAcentral describes it as "partial 16S ribosomal RNA". It matches the Rfam family "Bacterial small subunit ribosomal RNA", at positions 30 to 526 of the family's 1533-position model. The record is from RNAcentral.